Molecule: unclassified non-coding RNA, 249 nt
Filed under: Hevea brasiliensis (rubber tree)
Lineage: Eukaryota; Viridiplantae; Streptophyta; Magnoliopsida; Malpighiales; Euphorbiaceae
Source: RNAcentral
ACAGGCUGAAAUAUAAAAUUCAGAUCCUCUCAGAAGUAGGGAUUUUAGGAUCUGGGGGUCGUUCGUAGGAUCUGGUUUAUAAUUUUCUUCCAUAUGAGAGAGCCUAAUCUCUCUCUUUAUGUUUUAGAGAUCUCGUUAAUGUUUUUUCUUCAUCAUUGUUGAAUUUUUUGCAACUUUAUAGAGAGAAUAUGAAAUGUGUAAGGAUUUUGCUUCUGUUCUUUUGUAAAGGAAGUUCCAGGGCUGUUGAUC